Antechinus flavipes (yellow-footed antechinus) is the source of this 467-nucleotide long non-coding RNA. RefSeq lists it as uncharacterized. NCBI's taxonomy places the organism in Eukaryota, Metazoa, Chordata, Mammalia, Dasyuromorphia, Dasyuridae. The record is from RefSeq and is a predicted model, not a curated record. The transcript is spliced from 2 exons.
AAUCUCUCCUGACUCUCACCUUCUCCUGGUAGAUUUCCAAAUAGGACAUGGAGACAGCAAGGGCCCAGGGUCGCCCUUCAGCACCCUCCUCCCAGGAAGAAGACAAGAAGAAACAGUAAAAUUACUGGCUCUCCGACAGCCUUAUUGUCUCUUCUUGCCAUCUGCACAAAGCCCUGGAUCCAUUCUACUCUUCCCUAACCUGCGCCUGUUGGACCAUAGGCAAGCACACUGGCAUUCUGUCCAUUCAUCAAGUGGCGCAGGAUGGGCUGGACAAAGCCAACAUAGAUGUCCUGCUGAGUGCUUGUUUCCCCAUAAAAGGCAUCAAACCUGUAAAGCAGAAAUAUGGGAGUAGGAUAAGCUAGUUAAAACUAUAAAAGGAAGAGGGUAUUGGAUUUAGAGCACAGAGAUGGGAUAUGAUAGCAGGGACAUGUACAUGAAGAACAGCAAUAAACAUGAUCAGCAAAGCA